RNAcentral lists this non-coding RNA (832 nucleotides) under Pongo abelii (Sumatran orangutan). The record is from RNAcentral. Lineage: Eukaryota; Metazoa; Chordata; Mammalia; Primates; Hominidae.
GGAUUCACUUAGUGAUGGGGAGAAAGCCGAUGACGCAGAACAGGCCUGCUGCUUCCACAAGGCUAUGACUCCUGCAUCCAGGAUGAUGCCCAAGACCUCCCGGAAGCUGGCCCUGCAACGAGGAUCUGAGUGCACACAGUUCAUUUGGGAGGUGGUUCCAGAAAGCACUGGGUAGGGGCAAGAAAGGCAGCUCUCCUUGCCCAGCAUUUGGCCAGGGGGUUGGCCCACCUCACCAAUGUGAUUGCAUGUGAGUCCCGUCAACUUUAGAACUCAAUUACUCUCGUUUUGUGCAUGAAGAACGUGAAGUCCUAGUCCUAGGACUUGAUCCUUGUUCUGUCCAAAUAAAUCCCCAAGGCACUUUCUCAAGGGGAUGUUCUCUGGCGUGUUUGUUCCAGCUAUGCGCAUUGCUGUUGGAGGCUGGGUUGUGAGUCAGCAUCUCAGGGAAAGGUGGAUCAUCACAGCCGCCCUCCUGGUCCCAGACCACAGGCCACAUUCCCAGCCUCGCUGCCAUUGCAUGACAGAGAAUCCGUCAGCUCGGGAAACUGGAUGAAGCGGGCUGGGACUAAUACUCCAAAGUGCUGUCAAGCUAGUGUCCUUUGCUGGUGUUACGGUUGGAUUUCCUACUUUGCCAUUUGACUGUAAGGUCAGUGUCAGUGUUGGGUCUGCACCUGGAAGCCACUGAGGGAUGUAUAUGUCACAUCCCCUGGCAUUAGGAACGUGACGGACCUUGUCCUGGGUCUGCUAUGGGGAUGGUGACAAGGCAAAUCCCUCCUGCAGCAGGGCAUGCUGCUAACCCUGUGCGCAGCUGUGCCCUGGGCCGGGCCCUGCGCUG